UAGCCAGAUGUUGGAAACAACCUCGACCACCAACCAAACAAGCCCUACUUCCACAAACUGGGAGUACGAAACCAUGGCCAGUAAAUAUCUCAAAACAAACCACACAGUCAGGGAAGCACAAACAAAGUGGAUGCAAUACAUAGAGAAAUAAAGUACCACUUGAAGCAACAUGGGGGCAAAUGUCCCUACUAGAAGGGAGAAAAGACCCAAAGGAAAGAGAGGUCCUCAGAGCAAUACUUGGUCAUUAGAAAACACAACUACUAAGGUGGCGGAGUGAAGAGACGGAUAGCGCCCCACAACCACAAACAGCCCCCAGCCCGCAAACCUUAAUCAAUACUGGUAACUCAAGCGGAGAGUACAACAUACAUGAGUGCCAGGCAGGAAGUACCAUGCAGAGCAGACAAGUUGUUGUAAACUAAGUUACAGUUCAUUAUGUUGGAUAUUUCAUCCUAUAUUGAUAGGCUGCGCACGCUGGUGGAGGGUUAGCAACCUUUAUGUGAUGGUGAAAUACAAGUCACAUGAUCCACAGUCUGCCUUUUAUUUCAGCUCAUUUGAAUUGGGUGACUCACAAUCCCUUCCCUCUCCAUUUUUCACAUUAAUCUUGAGAGCCCAAAUUAUAUGAAUAAGACAUUAUUUUCUCACUUAAUCCAUAAAUUACACUGGUAUUGUUUCUGUAACAUUGCAAUUAAAAAAAUAAAUCACUCCCUUUGUCUCCCUCUCCUAGCUAUCAACCAUAAAAGAUUGUCAUCUAUUGAACAUUCUAUGACUGGUGUCAAGCAUUAACAUUAGAGUUUAGUAGGAACUAUACUAGAUGGGGGCGCCUGAGUUUGUCCUGCCUAGGGCAGCACAAAACCAGGAUACACCACUGCAUACGCCACCUGCACUAUUAGGACAGACCUUGCUCCCCUUGUGAAGAGACCUCCUGUUGAGAUUGUGCAUAUGCGCAUUCAUACCUGAGAAGCAGACUGCGCAUAAACCAAUGGCAGCUAACAUCUUAUAAAGCAGAUGGAAAGGGGUUUAUGGGUUAUACUCCAUAGACAAUUAUAAGCCGCUUCUUGGUCAGGGUGGAGUCAUUCCUACCUAUUUAUUGCAUACAUUUUAAGAUUUGCUGUUGUAGAUGGUGCAGAUAAGGGGCCUACCAUUUAUAAUAUCCGUGCACUGGUACUCAGGGAUGGAAUGUAGCUUUAGCGGGGACAUUUGCUUCAAUGCAAGAUGAAUACCAGCCCUGUACCAAAAUGCAAGAUUAAAAUUAGUUUCAUUAUACACUGUUGGAUAGAAUGCGUUAAGGAUUUCACUGCUUGCACACAGGUGUAUCGAAAACAUGUGCUUAUAAUUGACUUCUGCACAUCCAGUUAUUCUUACAUAUUUUUUAAUACAGAAUUUGAGACUCACUGACUUAAACAUUUUAUUCUAAUCCUUGGUAAACCACGAGAUUUACAAAGUUUACAUUAUAUCCCAGCAGGUAGAAAGCAGCUUAUUCUGCUCAGACAGUGGAAAGGUUCCAGAUGGAUAUGAGCUUUUAGGGUGAUUAAUGGGACAAAAUAUUUCUCUUAAUAUUUUCAC
Molecule: long non-coding RNA, 1563 nt
Filed under: Pelobates cultripes (western spadefoot toad)
Lineage: Eukaryota; Metazoa; Chordata; Amphibia; Anura; Pelobatidae
Source: RNAcentral